CAUUAGCGUAUAUUUUUUCUGUUGCAGUUAAAAAGCUCGUAGUUGGGAUGAAGGGUUAUAUAAGUUGAAAGUAUAGAUUAUAUUUUGAGUUUAUAUAAUUUGGAAGAUUGAUAAAAGUGAUUAUUUUAUUUUAAUUAAUAAAGUGAUGUUACAUUUUUAUCCAUUUACUGUGAGUAAAUUAGAGUGUUUCAAGCAGCUUUUUUUGGAGAAGCGUUGAAUAUAAUUAGCAUGGGAUAAUAAAACAGGACUAUAGUUUGUUGAUUUAAAAAACUAAAGUAAUGAGAAAGAGGGACAGUUGGGGGCAUUUGUAUUUUGUUGUCAGAGGUGAAAUUCUUGGAUUUACAAAAGACAAACUUAUGCGAAAGCAUUUGCCAAGGAUGUUUUCAUUAA
RNAcentral lists this ribosomal RNA (390 nucleotides) under uncultured eukaryote. RNAcentral describes it as "partial 18S ribosomal RNA". It matches the Rfam family "Eukaryotic small subunit ribosomal RNA", at positions 592 to 976 of the family's 1831-position model. The record is from RNAcentral.